This 241-nucleotide ribosomal RNA is filed under the name Scrippsiella trochoidea. Its description in RNAcentral is "partial Bacterial small subunit ribosomal RNA". It matches the Rfam family "Bacterial small subunit ribosomal RNA", at positions 90 to 330 of the family's 1533-position model. Lineage: Eukaryota; Dinophyceae; Peridiniales; Peridiniaceae. The record is from RNAcentral.
GACGAGCGGCGGACGGGUGAGUAACGCGUAGGAAUCUACCCAGUAGCGGGGGAUAGCCCGGGGAAACUCGGAUUAAUACCGCAUACGCCCUACGGGGGAAAGGCGGGGAUCUCUUCGGAGACCUGUCACUAUUGGAGGAGCCUGCGUUGGAUUAGCUAGUUGGUGAGGUAAAGGCUCACCAAGGCGACGAUCCAUAGCUGGUCUGAGAGGACGAUCAGCCACACUGGAACUGAGACACGGU